RNAcentral lists this ribosomal RNA (730 nucleotides) under uncultured bacterium. RNAcentral's name for it is "bacterial SSU rRNA". It matches the Rfam family "Bacterial small subunit ribosomal RNA", at positions 151 to 882 of the family's 1533-position model. The record is from RNAcentral.
GCGAAAGUAAGAAUUAAUACCCAAUGACGUCCAUAGAAGACAUCUGAAAUGAUUAAAGAUUUAUCGGUGAUGGAUGGGGAUGCGUCUGAUUAGCUUGUUGGCGGGGUAACGGCCCACCAAGGCGACGAUCAGUAGGGGUUCUGAGAGGAAGGUCCCCCACAUUGGAACUGAGACACGGUCCAAACUCCUACGGGAGGCAGCAGUGAGGAAUAUUGGUCAAUGGGCGAGAGCCUGAACCAGCCAAGUAGCGUGCAGGAUGACGGCCCUAUGGGUUGUAAACUGCUUUUAUAAGGGAAUAAAGUGAGAGUCGUGACUCUUUUUGCAUGUACCUUAUGAAUAAGGACCGGCUAAUUCCGUGCCAGCAGCCGCGGUAAUACGGAAGGUCCGGGCGUUAUCCGGAUUUAUUGGGUUUAAAGGGAGCGUAGGCCGGAGAUUAAGCGUGUUGUGAAAUGUAGACGCUCAACGUCUGCACUGCAGCGCGAACUGGUUUCCUUGAGUACGCACAAAGUGGGCGGAAUUCGUGGUGUAGCGGUGAAAUGCUUAGAUAUCACGAAGAACUCCGAUUGCGAAGGCAGCUCACUGGAGCGCAACUGACGCUGAAGCUCGAAAGUGCGGGUAUCGAACAGGAUUAGAUACCCUGGUAGUCCGCACGGUAAACGAUGGAUGCCCGCUGUUGGUCUGAAUAGGUCAGCGGCCAAGCGAAAGCAUUAAGCAUCCCACCUGGGGAGUA